Molecule: unclassified non-coding RNA, 219 nt
Filed under: uncultured Solicoccozyma
Lineage: Eukaryota; Fungi; Basidiomycota; Tremellomycetes; Filobasidiales; Piskurozymaceae
Description: sequence contains ITS2
Source: RNAcentral
AACUAUCAACCACGACUUGGUUUACUCCUCGUCGUGGCUUGGAUGUGGGUGUUUGCUGCUGCAAAGCUGCUCGCCUUAAAAGGAUUAGCUGGACUCGCUUUGCGAAUAGGUUUGACUCGGCGUAAUAAGUUAUUUCGCUGAGGACAUCUUCGGAUGGCCUACUUGCUUUGCACACGUCUGCUUUCUAACCCUAGUUCUCAUUAGAGACAUGACUUUAUA